GGAUGCGAUCGUACCAGCACUAAAGCACCGGAUCCCAUCAGAACUCUGAAGUUAAACGUGCUUGGGCGAGAGUAGUACUAGGAUGGUGACCUCCUGGGAAGUCCUCGUGUUGCAUUCC
This 118-nucleotide ribosomal RNA is filed under the name Aegilops tauschii subsp. strangulata. Lineage: Eukaryota; Viridiplantae; Streptophyta; Magnoliopsida; Poales; Poaceae. The record is from RNAcentral.